GGGUUGUGAGGUUAAGCGACUAAGCGUACACGGUGGAUGCCCUGGCAGUCAGAGGCGAUGAAGGGCGUGCUAAUCUGCGAUAAGCGCCGGUAAGGUGAUAUGAACCGUUAUAACCGGCGAUACCCGAAUGGGGAAACCCAGUGUGACUCGUCACACUAUCAUUAACUGAAUCCAUAGGUUAAUGAGGCGAACC
Molecule: ribosomal RNA, 193 nt
Filed under: Salmonella enterica subsp. enterica
Lineage: Bacteria; Pseudomonadati; Pseudomonadota; Gammaproteobacteria; Enterobacterales; Enterobacteriaceae
Also listed under: 1 other name
Description: partial 23S ribosomal RNA
Rfam family: Bacterial large subunit ribosomal RNA
Source: RNAcentral